Non-coding RNA from Podarcis lilfordi (Lilford's wall lizard), 91 nucleotides. The record is from the annotation of a GenBank genome assembly. NCBI's taxonomy places the organism in Eukaryota, Metazoa, Chordata, Lepidosauria, Squamata, Lacertidae.
GCUUUGGGACCCUGCUUAAGAUCAGUCGGUAGAGCAUGAGACUCUUAAUCCCAGGGUUGUGGGGGGUCGAGCCUCACUUUGGGCCAAAGCU